This is a long non-coding RNA of Raphanus sativus (radish), 1823 nucleotides long. RefSeq lists it as uncharacterized. The record is from RefSeq and is a predicted model, not a curated record. NCBI's taxonomy places the organism in Eukaryota, Viridiplantae, Streptophyta, Magnoliopsida, Brassicales, Brassicaceae. The transcript has 7 exons.
GUGUGUUUCCUUCUUUCUUCUAAUUGUCACUUAGGUUUGCCCACAGCUGUUGGAGUACUUUAGAUAUGUAAGAACGAGACAUGCUUUUUCAAUGAUUGUGGUGACCUAGCCACGCAGUUGCUAUAUGUAAAAUCAAUUCUUCCUUAUAGUACGAUGCUCACCAACAAGUUAUAAUCAUCAACACUCAUUUGCUCUUUCCUCAUGAUUCAACAUUGUUUAUGGUUUAUAAGAUUCUCCAGUAGAACGAUGAAAACAUUUCCAAGUUUGAUGCUUUUGUUCAGUUUGUAUCGUAAAAUCUGUUUCUUUCUUUCACAUGAUGGCUUAUUUACUUAAAAGUUAUUUUGUUUGUGUAGCUAAUGAGGGCUCCUUGAUUGUGUUAUAGUCUACUGAUUAUAUUAGUUUCUUUGAAGAUUGCAGAACGCCAUCAUGAAACCGACUGAACGAGGAGAUUAAAGGCUUUGUGAAAGCUGGCUUUUCGGUUGUGUCCUUAAUAUGGUUCUUUGCGUGUCAAACAUGCGGUUGAAUGUUGUACACAGAGAGAGAAAUAAAUACCAUGUUUAUGUCAUCUAGCGGAGAUAACAAUAAGGAAGAGAAGCGUUAGGAUCACAAGCCAAAGAUCCAAAUCUGAAUACUUGGGUCAGAGAUCCAAAUAGAUUCAGACAAGACCAGCCAGAGUUUGGUUCUUGGCUCAUUCUUGGAGGCAGCGCAAAGAGGAACAACGAAAAUAAUUUUUUAACUGGACACUAUACAACAUUCAGGCUUUAACUGGUGACCAUUAAAUUAAGAAUAGGAAUGAGUAGGAAAGGAAUGAAUAUGAAUAAAAUCAAUGGAAUUAAAAGGAAUAUUUAUUACUUUUGUUCCAUAUCAACUUUGAUAAGAAUACUUUUGUUCUAUGGUUCCUUAAAAUUUAAGGAAUGACAAGGAAUCAGACGGAACAAAAAUUCCCUAUAAAUGGUGUAAUUUUUAAGGAAUGAGUGGGAAUGGAUCAUUCCCCUUUGUUCCCUAUGUCACCAGUGAGAACCUCAGUGUAUUUUCUCUGUAUUAACCUCCAAAAUGAAAACUAACUCACCUCUUUUCUCUGUAUUCGAUAAAGAGGAAUGUGUAGACUAAGUGAGCGAAUCUCAAAUAUGCUGAAGGAUUCAAGGAUAGAAGAAUGUGACUUUAGGUUUCUGCUAGCUUUUCAGAAGUUGAUUUUUGUUUGAGCUAUGCCACUGGAGUAGGCGAACAGAAGCGGAUGCUGGAACAGAGGCGUGGGCUCUGGAGGCUAGAACAUAGGCAUAGGCUCUGGAGGCUGGAGACGGAGACUCUGGACUCUGGAGGUGGAAACAGAGUCUCUGGAGAAGCAAAUUCAUCUAAUGAAAAAUAGCACCCAUGUAAAAGCAGCGAAGUCAACAACAAUCCAUCAAUUCCUGGUUCGAAUAACAACUCUUUUCCCUCUCAGAGUAAUGUACCCAGACCGUCUGUACCUCCUGGUUUUGCAAGCACAGUUUUGGAAAGAAAGCAAGGAGACAAACCUCAAGAAUAAGUAGGAGACAAAGAAGCUGAAGAGCAGCCGGAGACAGAGAGAAUAGGCGGAGGCAGAGGAAUAAGCAACGACGAAGCAGUUUCAUAAAUGGAGGUUGUGGCGACCGAGGAGGCAAAGCGGAGGAUAAUUUAUAAACCGAAUAAAUUUGUAAUCUGGUUUAAUUUAUAACUUGUUGGUUUUUUCAUAGUAAUUGUUUCAGCUUUUUUAUUAGUAGCUUUAUUGAAAGUUUCAAAGUAUUAGAAGAGGCUUUAAAUGUGUGACUAAAAUAAAAAUAAUUGUAAAGAAAAUUGAUAAAGAU